Molecule: unclassified non-coding RNA, 433 nt
Filed under: soil metagenome
Description: partial contains 5.8S ribosomal RNA, internal transcribed spacer 2, and large subunit ribosomal RNA
Rfam family: 5.8S ribosomal RNA (bases 1-120)
Source: RNAcentral
GAUGAAGAACGUAGCGAAAUGCGAUACGUAAUGUGAAUUGCAGAAUUCAGUGAAUCAUCGAAUCUUUGAACGCAUAUUGCGCUCUUUGGUAUUCCGAAGAGCAUGCUUGUUUGAGUAUCAGUAAACACCUCAAAGCUUUUGGAUUUUUUAAUCGAAAAGCUUUGGACUUGAGCAAUCCCAACACCACUCUUUUUGAGAUCGGUGGCGGGUUGCUUGAAAUGCAGGUGCAGCUGGACAUUCUCCUGAGCUAAAAGCAUAUUCAUUUAGUCCCGUCAAACGGAUUAUUACUUUUGCUGCAGCUAACAUAAAGGGAGUUUGACCGUAUUGGCUGACUGAUGCAGGAUUUCACAAGGGUCGGCAACGAUUCUUGUUAAACUCGAUCUCAAAUCAAGUAAGACUACCCGCUGAACUUAAGCAUAUCAAUAGCGGAGGA